GGCGAGGUGCGGAUCAUCGUCUGGAGGUCGAUGCUGGCGUCCGACAGCGGCGAGAUGGACAGAGCCCUCUUCCUGCUCAGCCUGGGCGUCAGUCUGGGGCUGGAGAACCGCGACACUAUGUACACACAGAGUUGGAGAGACAGAUGCAUCGUUCUUGACCUUCGUUUGUCUGCGCUACCAGUUUUCAGAUCCUGUUAAUUGCAACCUGGUGUGUCUCGUCUCCGAGCUGCCGGAUCGGAGAAGACAAGAAGAACAAAAAGACACAGAGAGAGGCUGCAAGGAGGCUGUUCAUGCAGCAUGUGGAGUUCAGCAAAAAAUAUCAAACUCUGCCUGCAGCCGGCGUGAAGUCCACGCUGACCGCAGAGGUUGACCAGCUGCUUUGAUCCCUGACCCUCAACCAAAUGGUCCCGCUACAGCACGGCCACUCGCUGUUUUACAGCCACAGUUUGGACCACUGACUUCCUCUUCCCUGCCCGGAUGGGUCCUUUUAUUUGUCAACACCUACAGUUGGCAGCGGCUUAUGUCGAGUUCAAGGCCUCCAUGCUGACAAACAAACCACAGCACAACAGUGGUCAACCACAGUCAGUCAACAGAGCAGGUCUCGGAUCAACCACAUGCAAUCAAGAUCUCAUAUGAAGAAGGGAAUUACAGUCUGGCGAGACUAGAGCGCCUGUUUCACUGCAGUUUCCAAACCCUCCCUCAGACGACAGCAGCAGACAAUGUCAGCGUUGACUCAUCCGUUCAUCAACUGUCAGAUUAAGGGGCGACUGUUUUCUCUGUGAAACGUAUCCUUUUACACCACUUAAGAACAACAUUUCUCGUGACUUCGGCUGUCUCUUGCCGGAUUUUUUGGGCGGCCAGUUAUACUUUUGAUGGAUGUCUGCAUGGCAAUGUCAUGCACCUCCGAGUGGUUCAGAUAUUUCUUUACUUUUCUGUCUGAUAUCUUGUUUAGUUGUCGUGCACGUGAACGUCUUUACAGGUUCACGCAGUGAAAUCAACCAUUCAUGAGUAUUUCUUAAAAGCUAAUUGCUAACGUUGCACCGGUUGUAGUCGAUUGUGUCUCUCCUCCCAAUCAUGAAGGGUGUGACCCCAGAGGUCAAACACUUGACCCUUGAAGUUCUGCUGAGAUUUGCAGACUUUGAAUGCCUGAAUGGGCACAUACAGAGCUCUAUAUAAAGGUCUGUUCUUACUCCCAGCCCAGAGGAAACAACUUCUCCAGCCGCUGAUGUAUUUACACUGAUUCUCACAGGGGCGUAGCUAUUUCCUGCAUUUAUAUGCAUUUAUAUCAUCUUUCAAAUAACAAAUUAUGAUUCAAUUGGUUAUCAUGCUUUCCAUAAUAAUGGUGGUAAAAAAAACAACCUAAUACACAACGACUACUAUUUCUAACACCAACAGUUGACCUUUAAACUUGAUACUUUACCACAAAGAGCAGUCUUUACUGCAUUAUC
Siniperca chuatsi (mandarin fish) is the source of this 1448-nucleotide long non-coding RNA. RefSeq lists it as uncharacterized. Lineage: Eukaryota; Metazoa; Chordata; Actinopteri; Centrarchiformes; Sinipercidae. The transcript is spliced from 8 exons. The record is from RefSeq and is a predicted model, not a curated record.